CCUACGGGAGGCAGCAGUGAGGAAUAUUGGUCAAUGGGCGGGAGCCUGAACCAGCCAAGUCGCGUGAGGGAAGACGGUCCUAUGGAUUGUAAAGUACUUUCAGCGGGGAGGAAGGGAGUAAAGUUAAUACCUUUGCUCAUUGACGUUACCCGCAGAAGAAGCACCGGCUAACUCCGUGCCAGCAGCCGCGGUAAUACGGAGGAUGCGAGCGUUAUCCGGAUUUAUUGGGUUUAAAGGGUGCGUAGGCGGAUUUUUAAGUCAGCGGUAAAAUGUCCGGGCUCAACCCGGGCCGGCCGUUGAAACUGGGGAUCUUGAGUGGGCGAGAAGUAUGCGGAAUGCGUGGUGUAGCGGUGAAAUGCAUAGAUAUCACGCAGAACUCCGAUUGCGAAGGCAGCAUACCGGCGCCCGACUGACGCUGAGGCACGAAAGCGUGGGGAUCGAACAGGAUUAGAUACUCGGGUAGUC
Molecule: ribosomal RNA, 465 nt
Filed under: uncultured bacterium
Lineage: Bacteria
Description: partial 16S ribosomal RNA
Rfam family: Bacterial small subunit ribosomal RNA
Source: RNAcentral